AGAGUUUGAUCCUGGCUCAGAACGAACGCUGGCGGCGUGCCUAACACAUGCAAGUCGAACGAGAAGUACGUAGCAAUACGUAUUGUAAAGUGGCGCACGGGUGAGUAACACGUGGGUAAUCUGCCCUUGAGUUUGGGAUAACCCCGCGAAAGCGGGGCUAAUACCGAAUAAGACCACGGGGACCAAAGUCCCUGAGGUAAAAGGUGGCCUCUAUUUAUAAGCUACCACUUGAGGAUGAGCCCGCGGCCCAUUAGCUAGUUGGCAGGGUAACGGCCUACCAAGGCGAUGAUGGGUAGCUGGUCUGAGAGGACGAUCAGCCACACUGGAACUGAGACACGGUCCAGACUCCUACGGGAGGCAGCAGUGGGGAAUAUUGCGCAAUGGGCGAAAGCCUGACGCAGCAACGCCGCGUGGGGGAUGAAGGUUCUCGGAUUGUAAACCCCUUUCGAUCGGAACGAAUCCCCUCCUGGUAAAUAAUCAGGAGGAUCGACGGUACCGGGAGAAGAAGCCACGGCUAACUCUGUGCCAGCAGCCGCGGUAAGACAGAGGUGGCGAGCGUUGUUCGGAUUUAUUGGGCGUAAAGCGAACGCAGGUGGUUUGGUAAGUCAGGGGUGAAAGACCACAGCUUAACUGUGGCACUGCCUUUGAUACUGCCUUUCUAGAGUGCAUGAGGGGGAAGCGGAAUUCCGAGUGUAGAGGUGAAAUUCGUAGAUAUUCGGAGGAACACCGGUGGCGAAGGCGGCUUCCUGGCAUGUAACUGACACUCAUGUUCGAAAGCGUGGGUAGCAAACAGGAUUAGAUACCCUGGUAGUCC
RNAcentral lists this ribosomal RNA (814 nucleotides) under uncultured bacterium. RNAcentral describes it as "bacterial SSU rRNA". It matches the Rfam family "Bacterial small subunit ribosomal RNA", at positions 8 to 796 of the family's 1533-position model. The record is from RNAcentral.